GUGUUCUCACUUCGGCACAUAUGCUAAAACUGGAAUGCUACAGAGAAGAUUAGCAUGGCCCUUGUGCUUGGAUGACAUGCAAAUUCAUGAAGUGUUCCAUGUUUAC
Molecule: small nuclear RNA, 106 nt
Filed under: Salvator merianae (Argentine black and white tegu)
Lineage: Eukaryota; Metazoa; Chordata; Lepidosauria; Squamata; Teiidae
Source: RNAcentral